This 635-nucleotide unclassified non-coding RNA is filed under the name Trichoderma harzianum. Its description in RNAcentral is "sequence contains 18S rRNA gene, ITS1, 5.8S rRNA gene, ITS2, 28S rRNA gene". Lineage: Eukaryota; Fungi; Ascomycota; Sordariomycetes; Hypocreales; Hypocreaceae. The record is from RNAcentral.
GCGGGGGGGGCCACAGAGAGACGCGAUGUGAACUGCCCAGAUACAGGGUGAUAACGGAAGUGGACGCGCCGCGCUCCCGAUGCGAGUGUGCAAACUACUGCGCAGGAGAGGCUGCGGCGAGACCGCCACUGUAUUUCGGAGACGGCCACCGCCAAGGCAGGGCCGAUCCCCAACGCCGACCCCCCGGAGGGGUUCGAGGGUUGAAAUGACGCUCGGACAGGCAUGCCCGCCAGAAUACUGGCGGGCGCAAUGUGCGUUCAAAGAUUCGAUGAUUCACUGAAUUCUGCAAUUCACAUUACUUAUCGCAUUUCGCUGCGUUCUUCAUCGAUGCCAGAACCAAGAGAUCCGUUGUUGAAAGUUUUGAUUCAUUUUCGAAACGCCUACGAGAGGCGCCGAGAAGGCUCAGAUUAUAAAAAAACCCGCGAGGGGGUAUACAAUAAGAGUUUUGGUUGGUCCUCCGGCGGGCGCCUUGGUCCGGGGCUGCGACGCACCCGGGGCAGAGAUCCCGCCGAGGCAACAGUUUGGUAACGUUCACAUUGGGUUUGGGAGUUGUAAACUCGGUAAUGAUCCCUCCGCUGGUUCACCAACGGAGACCUUGUUACAUUUUUUUCCUUCCAAAACAUUUUUUUUUUUAC